UACAGAGGUCUCAAGCGUUGUUCGGAUUCAUUGGGCGUAAAGGGUGCGUAGGCGGCGCGGUAAGUCGGGUGUGAAAUCUCGGAGCUUAACUCCGAAACUGCAUUCGAUACUGCCGUGCUUGAGGACUGGAGAGGAGACUGGAAUUUACGGUGUAGCGGUGAAAUGCGUAGAUAUCAGGAGGAACACCAGUGGCGAAGGCGACUGACUGGACAAGUAUUGACGCUGAGGUGCGAAAGCGUGGGGAGCAAACAGG
RNAcentral lists this ribosomal RNA (253 nucleotides) under uncultured bacterium. RNAcentral describes it as "partial 16S ribosomal RNA". It matches the Rfam family "Bacterial small subunit ribosomal RNA", at positions 524 to 776 of the family's 1533-position model. The record is from RNAcentral.